Molecule: ribosomal RNA, 501 nt
Filed under: uncultured bacterium
Lineage: Bacteria
Description: partial 16S ribosomal RNA
Rfam family: Bacterial small subunit ribosomal RNA
Source: RNAcentral
GACGAACGCUGGCGGCGUGCCUAAUACAUGCAAGUCGAGCGGACCGGAUUGGGGCUUGCCUUGAUUCGGUCAGCGGCGGACGGGUGAGUAACACGUGGGCAACCUGCCCGCAAGACCGGGAUAACUCCGGGAAACCGGAGCUAAUACCGGAUAACACCGAAGACCGCAUGGUCUUCGGUUGAAAGGCGGCCUUUGGGCUGUCACUUGCGGAUGGGCCCGCGGCGCAUUAGCUAGUUGGUGAGGUAACGGCCCACCAAGGCGACGAUGCGUAGCCGGCCUGAGAGGGUGACCGGCCACACUGGGACUGAGACACGGCCGAGACUCCUACGGGAGGCAGCAGUAGGGAAUCUUCCGCAAUGGGCGAAAGCCUGACGGAGCGACGCCGCGUGAGCGAAGAAGGCCUUCGGGUCGUAAAGCUCUGUUGUGAGGGACGAAGGAGCGUCGUUCGAAGAGGGCGGCGCGGUGACGGUACCUCACGAGAAAGCCCCGGCUAACUACGUG